This 435-nucleotide ribosomal RNA is filed under the name uncultured bacterium. Its description in RNAcentral is "bacterial SSU rRNA". It matches the Rfam family "Bacterial small subunit ribosomal RNA", at positions 354 to 796 of the family's 1533-position model. The record is from RNAcentral.
GUGGGGAAUAUUGCGCAAUGGGCGAAAGCCUGACGCAGCCACGCCGCGUGAGUGAUGAAGGCCUUCGGGUUGUAAAGCUCUGUCGGGAGGGACGAAAGGAGCAAUCCUUGACGGUACCUCGCAAGAAAGCACCGGCUAACUCUGUGCCAGCAGCCGCGGUAAUACAGAGGGUGCAAGCGUUGCUCGGAUUUACUGGGCGUAAAGCGUACGCAGACGGUAAGAAAGGUCGGAUGUGAAAGCCCCGGGCUCAACCCGGGAACUGCAUCCGAAACCAUCUUGCUAGAGUAUGAGAGAGGGAAGCGGAAUUCCUGGUGUAGAGGUGAAAUUCGUAGAUAUCAGGAGGAACACCGGCGGCGAAGGCGGCUUCCUGGCUCAUUACUGACGUUCAGGUACGAAAGCGUGGGUAGCAAACAGGAUUAGAUACCCGUGUAGUCC